GCAAGAAAACAAGGGGGAAAAGAAAAAUAAAAACCUAGGUGGAGAAAUUCAAGGGAAAAUUGGUGAAAAUUCAAGGAAACAAGUGACAAAAGGUAAAAUUUCUUGAUUUUGACUUGUGAUCUACCUUUCCCAUGCUUUUCUCCUUAUUUUUCAUGGUUAGAUUUCAUGUUUUCAUGGUGAAUUCAUGGCUGCCCAAAUGGGUAUGGAGAGAGAAUGAAGUUAGAUUAAUUUAAUUUUAAGUUAUACUAGUGUUUUAAGUUAGUUUAGCAUAUUUAGAAACAAAACAACAAGAAAAGAAUUCAUUUUCCUCCAUUACCAUUAUUGGCCGAAUUUU
Molecule: long non-coding RNA, 334 nt
Filed under: Theobroma cacao (cacao)
Lineage: Eukaryota; Viridiplantae; Streptophyta; Magnoliopsida; Malvales; Malvaceae
Description: long non-coding RNA (TCAC_LNC005836)
Source: RNAcentral